GAGUUUGAUCUUGGCUCAGAUUGAACGCUGGCGGCAUGCCUUACACAUGCAAGUCGAACGGCAGCACGGGAGCUUGCUCCUGGUGGCGAGUGGCGAACGGGUGAGUAAUGCAUCGGAACGUAUCCUGGAGUGGGGGAUAACGUAGCGAAAGUUACGCUAAUACCGCAUAUUCUGUGAGCAGGAAAGCGGGGACCUUCGGGCCUCGCGCUCUUGGAGCGGCCGAUGUCGGAUUAGCUAGUUGGUGAGGUAAAGGCUCACCAAGGCGACGAUCCGUAGCAGGUCUGAGAGGAUGAUCUGCCACACUGGAACUGAGACACGGUCCAGACUCCUACGGGAGGCAGCAGUGGGAAUUUUGGACAAUGGGGGCAACCCUGAUCCAGCCAUGCCGCGUGAGUGAAGAAGGCCU
RNAcentral lists this ribosomal RNA (406 nucleotides) under bacterium enrichment culture clone ALO1_GLFRUDD03F65RM. RNAcentral's name for it is "bacterial SSU rRNA". It matches the Rfam family "Bacterial small subunit ribosomal RNA", at positions 9 to 417 of the family's 1533-position model. The record is from RNAcentral.